This 139-nucleotide small nucleolar RNA is filed under the name Sorghum bicolor (sorghum). RNAcentral's name for it is "Small nucleolar RNA Z247". It matches the Rfam family "Small nucleolar RNA Z247". Rfam says of the family: Z247 is a member of the C/D class of snoRNA which contain the C (UGAUGA) and D (CUGA) box motifs. Most of the members of the box C/D family function in directing site-specific 2'-O-methylation of substrate RNAs. The record is from Rfam by way of RNAcentral. Lineage: Eukaryota; Viridiplantae; Streptophyta; Magnoliopsida; Poales; Poaceae.
AAGAUGGAAGAUGAGGAGCUCUGACCUACAUCUUGACUAGGUUAGAUGAAACCCUUUGAUCCCGUCGUGUCUAUCAUGGUAGGGCGCACCGAACCAGUCUCCAUGGGCGAGCUGUUCACGCAGCUGGUAAGCUUCGAGC